AAAGAAAUCAACCGAGAUUCCCCCAGUAGCGGCGAGCGAACGGGGAGGAGCCCAGAGCCUGAAUCAGUGUGUGUGUUAGUGGAAGCGUCUGGAAAGGCGCGCGAUACAGGGUGACAGCCCCGUACACAAAAAUGCACAUACUGUGAGCUCGAUGAGUAGGGCGGGACACGUGGUAUCCUGUCUGAAUAUGGGGGGACCAUCCUCCAAGGCUAAAUACUCCUGACUGACCGAUAGUGAACCAGUACCGUGAGGGAAAGGCGAAAAGAACCCCGGCGAGGGGAGUGAAAAAGAACCUGAAACCGUGUACGUACAAGCAGUGGGAGCCUCUUAAUGGGGUGACUGCGUACCUUUUGUAUAAUGGGUCAGCGACUUAUAUUCUGUAGCAAGGUUAACCGAAUAGGGGAGCCGAAGGGAAACCGAGUCUUAACUGGGCGUUAAGUUGCAGGGUAUAGACCCGAAACCCGGUGAUCUAGCCAUGGGCAGGUUGAAGGUUGGGUAACACUAACUGGAGGACCGAACCGACUAAUGUUGAAAAAUUAGCGGAUGACUUGUGGCUGGGGGUGAAAGGCCAAUCAAACCGGGAGAUAGCUGGUUCUCCCCGAAAGCUAUUUAGGUAGCGCCUCGUGAAUUCAUCUCCGGGGGUAGAGCACUGUUUCGGCAAGGGGGUCAUCCCGACUUACCAACCCGAUGCAAACUGCGAAUACCGGAGAAUGUUAUCACGGGAGACACACGGCGGGUGCUAACGUCCGUCGUGAAGAGGGAAACAACCCAGACCGCCAGCUAAGGUCCCAAAGUCAUGGUUAAGUGGGAAACGAUGUGGGAAGGCCCAGACAGCCAGGAUGUUGGCUUAGAAGCAGCCAUCAUUUAAAGAAAGCGUAAUAGCUCACUGGUCGAGUCGGCCUGCGCGGAAGAUGUAACGGGGCUAAACCAUGCACCGAAGCUGCGGCAGCGACACUAUGUGUUGUUGGGUAGGGGAGCGUUCUGUAAGCCUGUGAAGGUGUACUGUGAGGUAUGCUGGAGGUAUCAGAAGUGCGAAUGCUGACAUAAGUAACGAUAAAGCGGGUGAAAAGCCCGCUCGCCGGAAGACCAAGGGUUCCUGUCCAACGUUAAUCGGGGCAGGGUGAGUCGACCCCUAAGGCGAGGCCGAAAGGCGUAGUCGAUGGGAAACAGGUUAAUAUUCCUGUACUUGGUGUUACUGCGAAGGGGGGACGGAGAAGGCUAUGUUGGCCGGGCGACGGUUGUCCCGGUUUAAGCGUGUAGGCUGGUUUUCCAGGCAAAUCCGGAAAAUCAAGGCUGAGGCGUGAUGACGAGGCACUACGGUGCUGAAGCGACAAAUGCCCUGCUUCCAGGAAAAGCCUCUAAGCAUCAGGUAACAUCAAAUCGUACCCCAAACCGACACAGGUGGUCAGGUAGAGAAUACCAAGGCGCUUGAGAGAACUCGGGUGAAGGAACUAGGCAAAAUGGUGCCGUAACUUCGGGAGAAGGCACGCUGAUAUGUAGGUGAAGCGACUUGCUCGUGGAGCUGAAAUCAGUCGAAGAUACCAGCUGGCUGCAACUGUUUAUUAAAAACACAGCACUGUGCAAACACGAAAGUGGACGUAUACGGUGUGACGCCUGCCCGGUGCCGGAAGGUUAAUUGAUGGGGUUAGCGGUAACGCGAAGCUCUUGAUCGAAGCCCCGGUAAACGGCGGCCGUAACUAUAACGGUCCUAAGGUAGCGAAAUUCCUUGUCGGGUAAGUUCCGACCUGCACGAAUGGCGUAAUGAUGGCCAGGCUGUCUCCACCCGAGACUCAGUGAAAUUGAACUCGCUGUGAAGAUGCAGUGUACCCGCGGCAAGACGGAAAGACCCCGUGAACCUUUACUAUAGCUUGACACUGAACAUUGAGCCUUGAUGUGUAGGAUAGGUGGGAGGCUUUGAAGUGUGGACGCCAGUCUGCAUGGAGCCGACCUUGAAAUACCACCCUUUAAUGUUUGAUGUUCUAACGUGGGCCCCUUACCGGGGUUGCGGACAGUGUCUGGUGGGUAGUUUGACUGGGGCGGUCUCCUCCUAAAGAGUAACGGAGGAGCACGAAGGUUGGCUAAUCCUGGUCGGACAUCAGGAGGUUAGUGCAAUGGCAUAAGCCAGCUUGACUGCGAGCGUGACGGCGCGAGCAGGUGCGAAAGCAGGUCAUAGUGAUCCGGUGGUUCUGAAUGGAAGGGCCAUCGCUCAACGGAUAAAAGGUACUCCGGGGAUAACAGGCUGAUACCGCCCAAGAGUUCAUAUCGACGGCGGUGUUUGGCACCUCGAUGUCGGCUCAUCACAUCCUGGGGCUGAAGUAGGUCCCAAGGGUAUGGCUGUUCGCCAUUUAAAGUGGUACGCGAGCUGGGUUUAGAACGUCGUGAGACAGUUCGGUCCCUAUCUGCCGUGGGCGCUGGAGAACUGAGGGGGGCUGCUCCUAGUACGAGAGGACCGGAGUGGACGCAUCACUGGUGUUCGGGUUGUCAUGCCAAUGGCACUGCCCGGUAGCUAAAUGCGGAAGAGAUAAGUGCUGAAAGCAUCUAAGCACGAAACUUGCCCCGAGAUGAGUUCUCCCUGACUCCUUGAGAGUCCUGAAGGAACGUUGAAGACGACGACGUUGAUAGGCCGGGUGUGUAAGCGCAGCGAUGCGUUGAGCUAACCGGUACUAAUGAACCGUGAGGCUUAACCUUACAACGCCGAAG
Molecule: ribosomal RNA, 2700 nt
Filed under: Escherichia coli
Lineage: Bacteria; Pseudomonadati; Pseudomonadota; Gammaproteobacteria; Enterobacterales; Enterobacteriaceae
Description: partial 23S ribosomal RNA
Rfam family: Bacterial large subunit ribosomal RNA
Source: RNAcentral